GAUGAACGCUGGCGGCGUGCCUAAUACAUGCAAGUCGAGCGAACGGACGAGAAGCUUGCUUCUCUGAUGUUAGCGGCGGACGGGUGAGUAACACGUGGAUAACCUACCUAUAAGACUGGGAUAAUUUCGGGAAACCGGAGCUACUACCGGAUAAUAUUUUGAACCGCAUGGUUCAAAAGUGAAAGACGGUCUUGCUGUCACUUAUAGAUGGAUCCGCGCUGCAUUAGCUAGUUGGUAAGGUAACGGCUUACCAAGGCAACGAUGCAUAGCUGACCUGAGAGGAUGAUCGGCCACACUGGAACUGAGACACGGUCCAGACUCCUACGGGAGGCAGCAGUAGGGAAUCUUCCGCAAUGGGCGAAAGCCUGACGGAGCAACGCCGCGUGAGUGAUGAAGGUCUUCGGAUCGUAAAACUCUUUUAUUAGGAAAGAACAUAUGUGGAAGUAACUGUGCACAUCUUGACGGUACCUAAACAGAAAGCCACGGCUAACUACGUG
Molecule: ribosomal RNA, 497 nt
Filed under: uncultured bacterium
Lineage: Bacteria
Description: partial 16S ribosomal RNA
Rfam family: Bacterial small subunit ribosomal RNA
Source: RNAcentral